UGGGGAAUAUUGCACAAUGGGCGCAAGCCUGAUGCAGCCAUGCCGCGUGUGUGAAGAAGGCCUUCGGGUUGUAAAGCACUUUCAGCGGGGAGGAAGGCGAUAAGGUUAAUAACCUUGUCGAUUGACGUUACCCGCAGAAGAAGCACCGGCUAACUCCGUGCCAGCAGCCGCGGUAAUACGGAGGGUGCAAGCGUUAAUCGGAAUUACUGGGCGUAAAGCGCACGCAGGCGGUCUGUCAAGUCGGAUGUGAAAUCCCCGGGCUCAACCUGGGAACUGCAUUCGAAACUGGCAGGCUAGAGUCUUGUAGAGGGGGGUAGAAUUCCAGGUGUAGCGGUGAAAUGCGUAGAGAUCUGGAGGAAUACCGGUGGUGAAGGCGGCCCCCUGGACAAAGACUGACGCUCAGGUGCGAAAGCGUGGGGAGCAAACAGG
RNAcentral lists this ribosomal RNA (429 nucleotides) under Chloroflexota bacterium. RNAcentral describes it as "Chloroflexi bacterium partial 16S ribosomal RNA". It matches the Rfam family "Bacterial small subunit ribosomal RNA", at positions 355 to 776 of the family's 1533-position model. The record is from RNAcentral. Lineage: Bacteria; Bacillati; Chloroflexota.